This 113-nucleotide ribosomal RNA is filed under the name uncultured bacterium. RNAcentral describes it as "partial 16S ribosomal RNA". It matches the Rfam family "Bacterial small subunit ribosomal RNA", at positions 355 to 485 of the family's 1533-position model. The record is from RNAcentral.
UGGGGAAUAUUGGACAAUGGGCGAAAGCCUGAUCCAGCAAUGCCGCGUGAGUGAUGAAGGCCCUAGGGUUGUAAAGCUCUUUUACCCGGGAUGAUAAUGACAGUACCGGAGAA